This 544-nucleotide long non-coding RNA is filed under the name Marmota monax (woodchuck). The record is from RNAcentral. Lineage: Eukaryota; Metazoa; Chordata; Mammalia; Rodentia; Sciuridae.
GUAAGGAAUGUGGGAAAGCCUUUAUUUGUCCAGCCUACUUUCCAAGACGUGAAAAUUCACACAAAGGACAACAUAUAAAUGUAAGGAGUAAGGGAAUCUCUGCAAGACUUUUUCUGAACUAAUGCAAUUUUUGAAGUCUCAUUUUGUGAAGUCUCAUACUGUAGAGACACUAUACAUAUGUGAAAGUGGGAGAUUAUCACUCAUUCUUUUGAAGAGUUGAGGACAACUUAGAGAAACCCUGUGUUUGUAAGCUAUAUGGUAAAGCCAUUUGAUUUUGAACAUAACUUUUGAUUUUGAACAUAACUUGUGCCACAGUCUGGCUGGGCUGUGCAAAGUAGCCGGGGUGGGGGGUGGGGGGCGACAAGCAACUUGUGAAGUUUGAAACAGCGGGAGCCUCUUUAUUCAGAACAGCACAGGUAUAUAUACCCAACUAAAUACACACAGCUUAUCUCAACAUCAUCUAAUUACAGCAGUCAUUAAGGAAUCCUCAUCAUCUUAAUAAUUAGACACAGCUUAACUCAAUUAACAUCAUCUAGAUACAGCA